This 440-nucleotide ribosomal RNA is filed under the name uncultured bacterium. RNAcentral describes it as "partial 16S ribosomal RNA". It matches the Rfam family "Bacterial small subunit ribosomal RNA", at positions 338 to 795 of the family's 1533-position model. The record is from RNAcentral.
CCUACGGGUGGCAGCAGUGGGGAAUAUUGCACAAUGGGGGAAACCCUGAUGCAGCGACGCCGCGUGAGUGAAGAAGUAUUUAGGUAUGUAAAGCUCUAUCAGCAGGGAAGAAAAUGACGGUACCUGACUAAGAAGCUCCGGCUAACUACGUGCCAGCAGCCGCGGUAAUACGUAGGGUGCAAGCGUUAUCCGGAUUUACUGGGUGUAAAGGGAGCGUAGUCGGCGAGAUAAGUCAGAAGUGAAAGCCCAGGGCUCAACUCUGGGACUGCUUUUGAAACUGGCGGGCUGGAGUGUAGGAGAGGUAGGCGGAAUUCCUAGUGUAGCGGUGAAAUGCGUAGAGAUUAGGAGGAACACCAGUUGCGAAGGCGGCUUACUGGACUAUAACUGACGUUGAGGCUCGAAAGCGUGGGGAGCAAACAGGAUUAGAUACCCGUGUAGUC